GGAGUAAAGUCGAUAAUUAUCGGCAAACUUGGCAUGGAAGACAACGAAUCCACGACCGGUACCCCUAUACUCUGCACCUCCAUGAAGCAAUGUUCUCCCGUAGUAGUGAGUCUUGGUUCCAAGAGAAAAUGUGAAGAACACAGACGAUAAUUGUAGUUGCAUCAUUAUGAAUUCACUAAGGGCAGUGCGAAACCCUUUUUCAAGUCCGAUUUCCAUCAUCAUC
This 223-nucleotide unclassified non-coding RNA is filed under the name Hevea brasiliensis (rubber tree). The record is from RNAcentral. Lineage: Eukaryota; Viridiplantae; Streptophyta; Magnoliopsida; Malpighiales; Euphorbiaceae.